CUAAAAAGUCAGCCGGACUGAUCCUACCAACAACCCCCAGACCCCAAACUAAACCAUUCGCCACAUCAAGUAUUAGAGACAGAAAAAUAAGCCCACCGCGCGACAGCUAAAAGUACCACAAGGGAACACUGAAAGAAAACUGAACACUUUAAGCACAAAACAGCAGGGCCUCCAACCCGUACCUCUUGCAUCAUGGUUUAACAAGCACCCCCAGAUAAAGAGCACUUUAACCUGCCCCCCCGAACCCAGACGAUCUACCCCAGAGCAAUCAAUUAGGAUGCACCCUCCUCUGUGGCAAAAGAGCGGGAAGACUUUGCGGUAGCGGUGAAACGCCAAUCGAGCCUGGCGAUAGCUGGUUGCUCAGUAAACGAAUUUAAGUUCUACUCUAGUCAAACCCCACCGACCACUUACACCCAUGUUCUGCCUAGAAGCUAUACAAUUAGGGGACAGCCUAAUUGUAACCGGACACAACCACAGCUGGAGGAACAGGCACCCUUCUCCUACCCCGUGGGCCCUAAAGCAGCCACCAAGCAGCAUCGCGUCAAAGCGACACACUUAAAAACCCCCCCCACUAACCCUACCCCCACACACACAACCGAGCCACCCUAGUCAAAACUAGGGGCAACACUGUUAAAACUAGUAAUAAGACCCCACUCUCUUCAGCACAUCCUUACACCGGCACGGACUAACCACCGGUAAUUACCAGUCAAAACAAUCCACACCACAUGUCACCCCAACACAGGAGUGCCUUAAAGACCAGGCAAACUGUCACAGAAGGAACUCGGCUAACAUGCCCCACCUGUUUACCAAAAACAUCGCCUUUAGCCUGACAAGUAUUAAAGGUACCGCCUGCCCAGUGAACCCCCUUAAACGGCCGCGGUACUCUAACCGUGCAAAGGUAGCGUAAUCACUUGCCCCCUAAAUAGAGGCUAGUAUGAACGGCUAAAUGAGGGCCUAACUGUCUCCUGCGACAAGCCAAUGAAACUGCUCUCUCAGUACAAAAGCUGAGAUAUCCCCACAAGACGAGAAGACCCUGUGGAGCUUUUAAACACCACACUAAUCCCACCAAACCACCAAUUAGUGCAAACUUUUAGUUGGGGCGACUACGGAGACAAUCAAAACCUCCAUGAAACAGUACCUUCACUACCUAUGGCAUACAGGCCAACGGUACGAGUAACUCAUUGACCCAGCAUCGCUGAACAACGAACCAAGUUACCCCAGGGAUAACAGCGCAAUCCUCCCCAAGAGUCCAUAUCGCCAGGAGGGUUUACGACCUCGAUGUUGGAUCAGGACACCCUGGCGGUGCAGCC
This 1310-nucleotide ribosomal RNA is filed under the name Phyllodactylus reissii. Its description in RNAcentral is "partial 16S ribosomal RNA". It matches the Rfam family "Bacterial large subunit ribosomal RNA", at positions 425 to 2560 of the family's 2925-position model. Lineage: Eukaryota; Metazoa; Chordata; Lepidosauria; Squamata; Phyllodactylidae. The record is from RNAcentral.